UGGCACUGCGCAUAGUGCCGCUGCCAACCUUUGCCUCCUUGCGGUGAUCAGGCAGGUGGUGCCAUCCCUUCCCAUCUUUCCCCAAGGAAGCAGAUGCUCUGGUCUCAAACCAGGCCCAGAGCCAAGAUCCUGGUCUGCCGCUUAUUACCUUGUGGGUAAGAAUAGGUGUAAUGCUGCCCCAUGCUCCCAAUGACAGGCAAAAGGCAGCUGAUAUGCCUCACAAACGUAUCAGAUAAAUCCAGAGCAAAGAGCAUUUAUAGUUUUGGACCCUGAUUCACCUCUGCCGUAUUGCACUUUGCCAGAGGAAUCCAAACCCCUGAAGGUGAGAGUAUGCUGCUGGCAUGCUGCUGCAUGAAUAAUGUCAUGGAAGUUUAAGACACAGAGCUGCUAGCAGGUGGAGGAAGGGUCUGUGAUAACCAGCUGUGGUCAUUUCCUGAGUGACAGGAGAGGGAGGGAUUACCCAGUGAUGGAGAAUUUGAUCAGGGUGAAACACACAUGCCUUCAUCUGCCCAAACAAUUCUGUCAUUCCCUCUGACAUUUCCACUAGCAAGCAGAGCUUUACUUAGGUAGCAUGAAGCUAUUUCCAGAGCUCAGCCUGUCUGAGCUGAAAUCAGAGUGUAGCCACUGUCACAAUUAGAGCUGAUAAGCAAUGGGAUCAAAGAAUAAUAGUAGUUGUAGUUAGAAGGGAGUCUCAGCUACUCAACCGGCUUUGGUUCAGGUCCCGUAUCCUGCAGCCUCCUCCAGCAGCCACUGAGAGAAAGGUGAAGGGAACAGAGUCUCAAGGAACUUUCAAGAGAAAAGAUAAUAUUUUGAAUGAUUUCCUGACAAGGGGUAAUUUUCUGACAUUCUCCUGCACAAGUGAGUGCUGCAGGAGGCUAUCUUCAGUCUGAGCCUGCAGGAGGGUCAGUGCUGUGUAUCCUGCCAGAUAGUAAAGGGAUCUCUCACAUAGUGUGAUGGAAGAGGUCUCUGGUAGGGAGGGCUCCUCCCUGAGGAGGUUUUAAAGUUGAGAGGUUCACUGCAUAGCUGCUCUGUUUGCAAUAGUACUGCUCUGCAGGUGAAGAGCACCUAUAAAGCUGACAAGGUGACCACUGUGUCAUGAUGAGCUCCUCAUCCAUAAAACAAAAGUAUGGGCUUAGCCACCUUCACCUCUCAGGAGAACAGUUCUGCAUUAUUUAUAUAGCUGGGAUGUAAAGUUCAGUACAAAAUUUCAAGUCUCUCUUGGGUGGCUGGCAAAAAGGGCACUGAACAACCGGUCUCCCUUUCACCUCUGCAUGGCCCUCCUAGCCUAGGCUCAGCCAGUCAGGUAGGUUGUCCCAUUCAGCGAUGGCUGCCUCUGCCUCUUUGAAGGUGUGUAACUGAGGCUCUUUUAUCCAUGGUAUUCUUUUGUCUUUCCUGCUGGAUCCUUUACAACCUCCUUCUAGCCUCUGCUGGCCUAAUUCUGUAUACCCUAGGCAUUGGUGCAAUAGGGACAGGGAGGCAGAGCCACCAUCACCUUGAUGCAAGGUGAUGCAGAUACUUCCCCACUUCAUUUUUUCAUUCAUGUUUUUCUGGAAAGCAUUAAUCCAGGAUAUCAGCGCCACUUACAGGGCAGGAAGGACUGAAUUCUUGUGCUCAGCUCUGGCUAAACUACCUGGCCACAAGUCUGUCUUCUUCUCCCUCUGCAGCUUUUUUCUUCCAUUGGUUUGUAUCCACCACGAGAGAGCAGGCUCAAAAUCCUGGUUUCAGAGAAGACAAUGGAAGUUUACUAGGUGUCCUCAGUGAGGACACGUUUUUCACUCUCUGAAUUUCAGGAUCCUCCUGAGCAAGGAUUGAAACUAAGAUCAUCAACAAGCAUGAAGAAAUGGGUCAUAAUGAUCUUGGCCCUUUGGCCACUUCCUUAUGGGAAAUGCAAUGUUCCAACAGAUCCAUAUUUCCUACAAAGUCUACUCAGAAGUGAAGAAACCAUAUCACACUCAUGAGUGUGCUGCAUGUUCCCUGGGUCUCUGCCUGGCUGCUUAGACAUGGAUCCAAAGGGACUUUUUUAUCCUCAUCAUUUCAUUUGCCGUCAGUUUGGAGCUGGGGCUGGUUUUUAACAUCUGUUUGUACAACGGGGCCCUAUGCACUGGGCUCUAAUUUGGAGGCUUCUGGCUGCUAUUGUUAUACACAUAAUUAACGAUAAUAAAAAUCUUAAAGAUC
This 2175-nucleotide long non-coding RNA is filed under the name Strigops habroptila (Kakapo). RNAcentral describes it as "lncRNA (ENSSHBG00005003949.1)". Lineage: Eukaryota; Metazoa; Chordata; Aves; Psittaciformes; Psittacidae. The record is from RNAcentral.